RNAcentral lists this ribosomal RNA (900 nucleotides) under bacterium enrichment culture clone 29TP. RNAcentral describes it as "bacterial SSU rRNA". It matches the Rfam family "Bacterial small subunit ribosomal RNA", at positions 11 to 916 of the family's 1533-position model. The record is from RNAcentral.
GAUUGAUCCUGGCUCGGGUGAACGCUGGCGGCGUGCUUGACACAUGCAAGUCGAACGGUAUGUGGCAACACAUAGGGUGGCGAACGGGUGAGUAACACGUGGGAACGUAUCUUUUGCAGGGGGAUAACUGACCGAAAGGACAGCUAAUACCGCAUAAGUCCGGGAGGAGAAAGGUGCAACAGCAUCGGCAGAAGAGCGGCCCGCGGUCCAUCAGCUAGUUGGUGAGGUAAGGGCUUACCAAGGCGACGACGGAUAGCCGGCGUGAGAGCGUGGCCGGCCACAAGGACACUGAGAUACGGGUCCUACUCCUACGGGAGGCAGCAGUGCGGAAUUUUAGAUAAUGGAGGGAACUCUGAUCUAGCGACGCCGCGUGCAGGAAGAAGGUCUUCGGAUUGUAAACUGCUGUGGUAAGGGAAAAAUGCUAUGUAGAGUGGAAAGCUACAUAGAGGGAUGGUACCUUACUAGAAAGCCCCGGCUAACUACGUGCCAGCAGCCGCGGUAAUACGUAGGGGGCGAGCGUUACCCGGAAUCACUGGGCGUAAGGGGAGCGUAGGUGGCCUAACAUGUCAACUGUGAAAACCCGGAGCUCAACUCCGGACUUGCAGUUGAAACUGGUAGGCUUGAGGACGGUAGAGGAAGACGGAACUGCCAGUGUAGGGGUAAAAUCCUUAGAUAUUGGCAGGAACGCCGGUGACGAAGGUGGUUUUCUGGGCCGGUUCUGACACUGAUGCUCGAAAGCCAGGGGAGCGAACGGGAUUAGAUACCCCGGUAGUCCUGGCCCUAAACGAUGUUCACUAGGUGUGGGGAGCGGAAAGCUCUCCGUGCUAAAGCUAAGCUAACGCGAUAAGUGAACCGCCUGGGGAGUACGCCCGCAACCCUGAAACUCAAAGGAAUUGACGG